AUCCUUAGGAUAGGAUAGAUUGAUACCAGGGGUCGACCAUUUGUGAGACAGGGUCUAAAUCAAAUCUUUGGCCACUAAAAUGAUGCCCUAGGAAAAAAUAGGGUUUCAUUUAAAAAUCAAAGAUUAGUAUUUGAAAGCUAGCUUGAAGUUCUUUCCAAAGACAUAAGAAUUGUCUUGAAAGGAUUUUAGAGGACUUAGAAAUUAUUGUUCAAAGUCAGGGUUUGUAUCAAUGAUUUGGAUUUUAUAUAAUAUAAUUAGGGCUAGCAAUCUUGGCUAGUUAGUGCAAUUGGUGUGACAUCUAUGAUUGAAAACUUGUUACUAUUUGGAUUAUUAGAUGUGCUAAGUGUAUACAAAAUUUUGUAAUGAUCUAAUGGUGUGGUUUAGAGAUAUCUAGUUUUUAGCACAAGAGGGUUUCAGAAGGUGGCAGUUUGAGGUUGGAUAGGAUUUCUAUGAUGUCUAAAGAUUUAUUUGUCGAAUUAAGGUGAAAAUUGGCAUGGUGUUAGAG
RNAcentral lists this long non-coding RNA (505 nucleotides) under Physcomitrium patens. RNAcentral's name for it is "long non-coding RNA (PPAT_LNC014258)". Lineage: Eukaryota; Viridiplantae; Streptophyta; Bryopsida; Funariales; Funariaceae. The record is from RNAcentral.